GUGGGGAAUCUUCCGCAAUGGACGAAAGUCUGACGGAGCGACGCCGCGUGAGUGAAGAAGGCCUUCGGGUCGUAAAGCUCUGUCAUCAGGGACGAACGGCCGGUGGAGUGGAAAGCCACCGGAUUGACGGUACCUGAGAAGGAAGCCACGGCUAACUACGUGCCAGCAGCCGCGGUAAUACGUAGGUGGCAAGCGUUGUCCGGAAUUAUUGGGCGUAAAGCGCGCGCAGGUGGGAUCUUAAGUCCAUUUUUAAAGUUCGGAGCUCAACUCCGUGAUGGGAUGGAAACUGGGAUUCUUGAGUACCGGAGAGGAAAGCGGAAUUCCCCGUGUAGCGGUGAAAUGUGUAGAUAUGGGGAGGAACACCAGUGGCGAAGGCGGCUUUCUGGACGGUGUCUGACGCUGAGGCGCGAAAGCUAGGGGAGCGAACGGGAUUAGAUACCCCAGUAGUCC
RNAcentral lists this ribosomal RNA (450 nucleotides) under uncultured bacterium. RNAcentral describes it as "partial 16S ribosomal RNA". It matches the Rfam family "Bacterial small subunit ribosomal RNA", at positions 354 to 796 of the family's 1533-position model. The record is from RNAcentral.